This 84-nucleotide transfer RNA is filed under the name Saprospiraceae bacterium. Its description in RNAcentral is "tRNA-Leu". It matches the Rfam family "tRNA". From Rfam's summary of the family: Transfer RNA (tRNA) molecules are approximately 80 nucleotides in length. Their secondary structure includes four short double-helical elements and three loops (D, anti-codon, and T loops). The record is from RNAcentral. Lineage: Bacteria; Pseudomonadati; Bacteroidota; Saprospiria; Saprospirales; Saprospiraceae.
GCCCACGUGGCGAAAUUGGUAGACGUGCUAGCUUCAGGAGCUAGUGUCCUUAUGGACGUGUUGGUUCGAGUCCAAUCGUGGGUA